GACAGAGGGGGCAAGCGUUGCUCGGAAUUACUGGGCGUAAAGGGCGCGUAGGCGGGAUGGCAAGUCGGUCGUGAAAUCCUUCGGCUCAACCGAAGAACGUCGAUCGAUACUGCUGUUCUUGAGGGUUGCAGAGGAGACUGGAAUUCCUGGUGUAGCGGUGAAAUGCGCAGAUAUCAGGAAGAACACCCGUGGCGAAGGCGGCUCUCUGGGACGGUACUGACGCUGAGACGCGAAAGCGUGGGGAGCGAACAGG
This 253-nucleotide ribosomal RNA is filed under the name uncultured bacterium. RNAcentral describes it as "partial 16S ribosomal RNA". It matches the Rfam family "Bacterial small subunit ribosomal RNA", at positions 524 to 776 of the family's 1533-position model. The record is from RNAcentral.